This 381-nucleotide ribosomal RNA is filed under the name Triticum aestivum (bread wheat). Its description in RNAcentral is "partial small subunit ribosomal RNA". Lineage: Eukaryota; Viridiplantae; Streptophyta; Magnoliopsida; Poales; Poaceae. The record is from RNAcentral.
AUGACAUCCUCGGGAGCUCCACACCUCCAUCCUCCAUGGCGCCUGUUUGCUGACGAAGAUGACAGGCGUUGUCCUGGCGAGCUCUGUAUCGCCAUCCUUCAUGACAUGGCAGCGGCAUCCUCGCGAGAUCCACGCCUCAUCCACCAUGGCACCGGUUUGAUGAAGAAGAUGAUGGGCAUCGUCCUAGUGAGCUCCGUGUCGCCGUCCACUGCGGCAUGGCAUCUACAUCCUCGCGAGCUCCACUCCUCCGUCCGCCAUGGCAUCAGCUUGAUGAAGAAGAAGACGGGCGUCGUCUUAGCGAUCUCCACAUUGCCAUUCUCCGUGGCACGCGACGACAUCCUCGCGAGCUCUGCUCCUCCGUCCUCCGUGGCACCGGCUUGA